Molecule: ribosomal RNA, 576 nt
Filed under: uncultured bacterium
Lineage: Bacteria
Description: bacterial SSU rRNA
Rfam family: Bacterial small subunit ribosomal RNA
Source: RNAcentral
CGUGAAGCAGGAGCUUGCUCCUGUGGAAAGUGGCAGACGGGUGAGUAACGCGUGGGAAUUUACCCAGUGGUUCGGAAUAACUUCGGGAAACCGGAGCUAAUACCGGAUACGCCCUCCGGGGGAAAGAUUUAUCGCCAUUGGAUGAGCCCGCGUCGGAUUAGCUUGUUGGUGAGGUAAGAGCUCACCAAGGCGACGAUCCGUAGCUGGUCUGAGAGGAUGAUCAGCCACACUGGGACUGAGACACGGCCCAGACUCCUACGGGAGGCAGCAGUGGGGAAUAUUGCACAAUGGGCGCAAGCCUGAUGCAGCCAUGCCGCGUGAGUGAUGAAGGCCUUAGGGUUGUAAAACUCUUUCACCGGUGAAGAUAAUGACGGUAGCCGGAAAAGAAGCCCCGGCCAACUCCGUGCCAGCAGCCGCGGUAAUACGGAGGGGGCUAGCGUUGUUCGGAAUUACUGGGCGUAAAGCGCGCGUAGGCGGGCUGGUUAGUUGGGGGUGAAAUNCCGGGGCUCAACCCCGGAACUGCCCUCAAUACUGCCGGUCUAGAGUUUUGAGAGAGGUGAGUGGAAUUCCUAGUGC